AUACGUUUCUCAGCCUUUUGACUAAGAUAAUGUGUAAUAUUUGUUAUUAUUAUUUUAAUAUCUGAUAUGUGGAUCAUAUGUUCACUUUGAUAUUAAAUUUAUUUUUAUGGGUAUUUUUUGUGGGAUGGUCCACCACAC
RNAcentral lists this small nuclear RNA (138 nucleotides) under Zea mays. RNAcentral's name for it is "U2 spliceosomal RNA". It matches the Rfam family "U2 spliceosomal RNA". Rfam says of the family: U2 is a small nuclear RNA (snRNA) component of the spliceosome (involved in pre-mRNA splicing). The record is from Rfam by way of RNAcentral. Lineage: Eukaryota; Viridiplantae; Streptophyta; Magnoliopsida; Poales; Poaceae.